This is a non-coding RNA of Drosophila melanogaster (fruit fly), 1910 nucleotides long. Lineage: Eukaryota; Metazoa; Arthropoda; Insecta; Diptera; Drosophilidae. The record is from Ensembl.
CAGUCAACGCGUCGAGUUGCGAAAGUGCGUCGAAAAAUUUUAACUUGCGGUCAUACGGAAUUUUUUUGUCGCGCGAAAUAUCGAAAAUACGGCGUUCCUUCGCCUAUAGUGGUGCGCGAAAUAAGUCCGGCUUGUGUUUCCCGGCGAUAUACAGCCGAAGAGAUCGGCGUUCGUCACGGCCAUCUCACGGCCGCCUGGCCGCCAAAUCCUAGCUUCGACUGGGUCAAAUUGCAGCCGAAAUUGAAGCCCGGAGGGUUUUCGCUGGACAUCUUAUACUUUCGCAUCACUGCCCGGGUCCCACAAUUUUUCGGAGCCGCUACCGGCGGGCAGAAGGAGAGACGGCAACUGCGCCAGGCGAGUAGUGGAGCGCCUUUCCAGCAGGCCGGAGCGAAGGACCAGCCGCAGCAGCAGGCCGGAGCGAAGGACCAGCCGCAGCAGCAGGACAGCGACCGCCCUAAGCCGGGGCCAUCAGGAAGGAUCAUUAAACAAAGAAAAAUGCAGCCUAAGUAGAGCUUAGAGUGAGGUUAGAGUGAAUGGAAAAUUUUCUUUUGCUUGAUUGGCAGUCCAGAAUGCCCGAAAUUAAAUUAAAUCAAAGUUAAAUCGAGCAAAAUUUCUAAUUAUACAAAAAAAAAUGCUGAAAGACAGACCUAACCUUACUAAAUCACGCGCCGACCGAGGGGCGUUGCCGUGUAUCCUGAGAAUCGAUUCGCAAGAAGAUGGACGCUAGAAAAGAGCAAAUUGCAAUGAGCAAUGAGCAAAUAAUAUUGUAGAUAUAAAUGUUAUCUAAUCUUAUCUGAUCUAAUUAUUAUAUAAAAACUUGGAAUUGUUUUUUUUAAGAGCGGCAGAGAGUAAAGAUUACAGAUAAAAUCUAUGUUGAGGCAAUGAGCUUUUUCAUUGACUGGAGAAGUGGUUUGGCAAUUUAUAAACAUGGUAAAAUUAAUGUUUCAAUUAUGUAUAUGUAUGUAUAUGUAAUAUAUGUAUAUGUAUUUAUUAUGAAUGUAUAAAAAGAACGGCGGCAGUGCCCGUACCGAACCGAUAAAGAGGUAAAGUGCAUUACAGCAGAAGGCAAAUGAGCAAGUUUCACAAAAUAAAGAUUUAAACAGUUGUGCUUGCUCUCUAUUGAGAGAGGGGAACAUAGCACAAAGGGGAAUGUAAAAUCUAUUGCUGAACAGAGCAAUGUGUAAGAGUAAUAAAAUAAAAUACCUUAAAUUUAUGAUGAGCUGCUACUGGCUGCGGGAUGCAUAACCAAACAUCCUCCCGCCGUUGGAGGAUACGGGCUGACAACAUCAUCCUGUUUGGGUAGAACGCAAAGUUGAGCGACGGCUCUAUUCAUCAGCGGCCAAAAAGGCAGGACCAACAGCUCGGUAAAAAUGAUACUUUGCUGUUUUGACAGCCGCCUUCCAGAGGACUCCAAAAUGCGGCGAUCGAGGAGGGAUGAACCGCCAUUCAAUGCUAUCAGUCAAGCAGAAUUCAUGUACUGCAGUUUGAUUGUGAUGUGUUCAGGAACAAACGCUUAAGAUUCUUCGAUGCAGGAGUGGAGAGAUCCUGAACCAGCUCAAGGUGAACAGCCUUUGUAGAAAAGCAGGUAAAGAUGCAGAUAUAGCACUUGAUCGGUGCUUUGUUCCGAACAGGAUUUUAAUAAAAUGGAUCGCAAAAGUACAGACCAGUGACAUUGAAGGAAUGUGAAGCUGUUACGCGGUCCUCAGAAAGAUCACCCAUAAUGUGACAAGCUAUAUGUUGCUUGGCUCGAAGGCAUAUGAUGUAUUUGCUGAAUGCACUUGCAGUUGUCUUGCGACCGUCAAUUGGCCAGAACUGCAGUCGAAUGGAAGCGAGUAGUGCGCGAGGUCCAGAAUGCAGAUUGCGACGAUGAUAGUCGAGUAUAAUGGCACGAGUGACUGGGUGCUGACGUG